GAUGAACGCUGGCGGCGUGCUUAGCACAUGCAAGUCGAACGAAGCACUUUAUUUGAUUUCCUUCGGGACUGAUUAUUUUGUGACUGAGUGGCGGACGGGUGAGUAACGCGUGGGUAACCUGCCUUGUACAGGGGGAUAACAGUUGGAAACGGCUGCUAAUACCGCAUAAGCGCACGGCAUCGCAUGAUGCAGUGUGAAAAACUCCGGUGGUAUAAGAUGGACCCGCGUUGGAUUAGCUAGUUGGUGAGGUAACGGCCCACCAAGGCGACGAUCCAUAGCCGACCUGAGAGGGUGACCGGCCACAUUGGGACUGAGACACGGCCCAAACUCCUACGGGAGGCAGCAGUGGGGAAUAUUGCACAAUGGGCGAAAGCCUGAUGCAGCGACGCCGCGUGAGCGAAGAAGUAUUUCGGUAUGUAAAGCCCUAUCAGCAGGGAAGAUAAUGGCGGUACCUGACGAAGAAGCACCGGCUAAAUACGUG
RNAcentral lists this ribosomal RNA (481 nucleotides) under uncultured bacterium. RNAcentral describes it as "partial 16S ribosomal RNA". It matches the Rfam family "Bacterial small subunit ribosomal RNA", at positions 28 to 507 of the family's 1533-position model. The record is from RNAcentral.